This 699-nucleotide long non-coding RNA is filed under the name Phoenix dactylifera (date palm). RNAcentral's name for it is "long non-coding RNA (PDAC_LNC018795)". Lineage: Eukaryota; Viridiplantae; Streptophyta; Magnoliopsida; Arecales; Arecaceae. The record is from RNAcentral.
AUACGUAGUUCUUUUUAAGUUUCAAAAACGCAGCGGAAAAAUCGAAUCAAACAAUUUUAAUUCGUGAAUGCUUACAAGAUCAAAUCUAGAAAUCAGCACUGUAAGAACACAUAGGAUUAUACCGGAAUCGUUUAAACAAUUAUGCUAAAACUUUUAUGCAUGAUUAACUAUCAGAUCUGAAACUUAAAAACUCUAUUCCAAUUAAUCUCCGAAUAUCCAUCGAAUGGAUUCUGGAGAUAUCUCCAUGAGGAGCUCCAAAAGAGGGUAAAACCUUGGAGAAUCGGACCUAGAUCUUGACACCAUAAUGAAUAAUUAAUGCUAGAUUACUACCUUUUAUGAUGGAUGAAACUUGUGGAUCUGAUCCUUGACUUUGUAGCCACGCAUACGAAUGGCCUCUACGAGAAGUACACGCGAAGCUCCUGAAGAGAUCCAAUCCUGCGGAAGUGCUAGCUUGCGCAGAAUUUCUUGAGGCUGAAAUUUGAUCUUCCCAACGCUAUCAACUUUUGAUCCACCUUCUUGGAAGAACUUGGAGGAAAGGUUUAGAGGGAUUGAAGAGGACUUAGAUCUGAUCUAAAGACUCUUAUCAGGGACCCUUAACACUAAUGGCGUGAAGGACUUAGUGGAAGAUCAAAUGGCAAGUUGGAAGAUGAACUAGUUUCUUCUUUCUUUCUUUUUUCUUUUCUCCUUUUUCCUUUUUCU